RNAcentral lists this ribosomal RNA (401 nucleotides) under uncultured bacterium. Its description in RNAcentral is "bacterial SSU rRNA". It matches the Rfam family "Bacterial small subunit ribosomal RNA", at positions 353 to 771 of the family's 1533-position model. The record is from RNAcentral.
AGUGGGGAAUAUUGGACAAUGGGCGCAAGCCUGAUCCAGCCAUGCCGCGUGAGUGAUGAAGGCCCUAGGGUUGUAAAGCUCUUUCGCACGCGACGAUAAUGACGGUAGCGUGAGAAGAAGCCCCGGCUAACUUCGUGCCAGCAGCCGCGGUAAUACGAAGGGGGCUAGCGUUGCUCGGAAUCACUGGGCGUAAAGGGCGCGUAGGCGGGCUCUUAAGUCGGGGGUGAAAGCCUGUGGCUCAACCACAGAAUGGCCUUCGAUACUGGGAGCCUUGAGACCGGAAGAGGUGAGUGGAACUGCGAGUGUAGAGGUGAAAUUCGUAGAUAUUCGCAAGAACACCAGUGGCGAAGGCGGCUCACUGGUCCGGGUCUGACGCUGAGGCGCGAAAGCGUGGGGAGCAA